This 80-nucleotide ribosomal RNA is filed under the name Medicago fischeriana. RNAcentral describes it as "partial large subunit ribosomal RNA". It matches the Rfam family "Eukaryotic large subunit ribosomal RNA", at positions 1 to 79 of the family's 3401-position model. RNAcentral also lists the same sequence under 1 other name. The record is from RNAcentral. Lineage: Eukaryota; Viridiplantae; Streptophyta; Magnoliopsida; Fabales; Fabaceae.
GAGACCUCAGGUCAGGCGGGACUACCCGCUGAAUUUAAGCAUAUCAAUAAGCGGAGGAAAAGAAACUAACAAGGAUUCCC